UACGUAGGGGGCAAGCGUUGUCCGGAUUUAUUGGGCGUAAAGAGCUCGUAGGCGGUCUGUCGCGUCGGCUGUGAAAUCCCGAGGCUCAACCUCGGGUCUGCAGUCGAUACGGGCAAACUAGAGUAUUGCAGGGGAGACUGGAAUUCCUGGUGUAGCGGUGAAAUGCGCAGAUAUCAGGAGGAACACCGGUGGCGAAGGCGGGUCUCUGGGCAAUAACUGACGCUGAGGAGCGAAAGCGUGGGGAGCGAACAGG
Molecule: ribosomal RNA, 253 nt
Filed under: uncultured bacterium
Lineage: Bacteria
Description: partial 16S ribosomal RNA
Rfam family: Bacterial small subunit ribosomal RNA
Source: RNAcentral